Molecule: long non-coding RNA, 984 nt
Filed under: Oncorhynchus kisutch (coho salmon)
Lineage: Eukaryota; Metazoa; Chordata; Actinopteri; Salmoniformes; Salmonidae
Description: lncRNA (ENSOKIG00005006396.1)
Source: RNAcentral
ACAGAAGAUUACAUUGACUACUACAAGGAAGUGACUGAGGAAAUCAUUCAUGUGACUGAGGUGUGGAGCGUCAUUCCUGGAGGGGACAAAUCAGAGAACCUCCUCCCCCAGACCUCCCCCUUCUCUGGGGCUGCUGUUGCUUCAUCUCUCUGCUCCUUGGAGCUGGAGCCCUUACAGGACUCCCAGGAUGCAGUGGAGCAACCAGAGAUCCUGACAUCCUGUGCCCUCACUGAGACCACCCAGGACCUGCUCUCUGAGCUCCACCAGACCUUUUGUUCUCUGGAGGAGCUGGGAAGUGCAGGGCCCAGUGGCCCAAGUACAGAGAGAGGCUCUACCCUGGAGGGGGAACUGGACAGUGGGGGCUCUGGGAGGAAUAUCCGGCCCUUCUCUCUCCAGGACUCCUCUCUGCUCAUCCCCCGUCGGAGGUCUGUACGCUCCAGACAGCUACAGGUCCCUGGAGUCCCUCUGUCCCGCAGGAACUCCAGCCGCAAUCCCCCAGCUCAGCACCUCCUCAGCCCCAGAGACAGGUUACCUGGAGGGGAGAAGGCCUUGCACAAGGAGGAGGCAGCAUGCUUCAGAUGCACCCCAGAGGAUAGGCUGGGUCACUGUAAGCUGGGCAGCUGGUGGAAACAAGCCCUGGAGACCCAAAGGGCAUUCUCUGGCCUACUACCUGCCAUAGAGCAGGUAUCCACCAUCUCAAAGAAAAGAGGGUCUCUCUCGUUCCUGGGCGACCCUACUCCAACAGUCUGGUCAGCAUCCAGGAGUCUCCAUCCAAGCAGAGAGGAGACAAGCAGGAGGUCAAAUAUGUAUGUAGAGGUCAUCUCUAUGUGGUCACUGGGCUUACAUGGAGGGUGUCAGUAUGGAGGGAAAUAUGCUCCGGUUGGCCAAUGGAGGGCGUUGUUGUCCAAGCUUGGAGGUUUUUAUUUUGUCUCUGAUUUGAAUAAUCUCACACCUACCCCCCCACGAGCCCAUCCCAGCAUGUAA